RNAcentral lists this ribosomal RNA (268 nucleotides) under uncultured prokaryote. Its description in RNAcentral is "partial 16S ribosomal RNA". It matches the Rfam family "Bacterial small subunit ribosomal RNA", at positions 509 to 776 of the family's 1533-position model. The record is from RNAcentral.
CAGCAGCCGCGGUAAUACGAGGGGGGCGAGCGUUGUUCGGAAUUAUUGGGCGUAAAGGGUGCGUAGGCGGUUUGGUAAGUCUGAUGUGAAAUCUAUGGGCUCAACUCAUAGUCUGCAUCGGAAACUGCCGGGCUUGAGUAUGGGAGAGGUGAGUGGAAUUCCUGGUGUAGCGGUGAAAUGCGUAGAUAUCAGGAGGAACACCUGUGGCGAAAGCGGCUCACUGGACCAUAACUGACGCUGAUGCACGAAAGCUAGGGGAGCAAACAGG